Macaca fascicularis (crab-eating macaque) is the source of this 1726-nucleotide long non-coding RNA. The record is from Ensembl. Lineage: Eukaryota; Metazoa; Chordata; Mammalia; Primates; Cercopithecidae.
GCUCGGCCGCCCGGUACCCGCGUCCCACAGCUGGGUGGCGGCGGCACCACAGCACCAGGCUGCCCGGCGCACCCAUCCUUGGGGGCUAAGGCACAGCGGGGAAUGGCGUCGGCUCCGUACUGAGAGACUCGGGGAGGCUUUAGGAGGAUGCUACGGGAUUUCGGGGUAGGCUGUGGGAGGGUCUGGGACUCCCUCUGCAGGGUCAGAGGGCUUCGCACCGUGCCAUCUGCGGGCCCAGCCCACUCCAGAGACUGGGCGGCUCCACAGGGGAGGCCCCACGGCCCAGGAACCGGGAAGCCCCCCUGCGCCGUAAGCCCAGAACUGGGCUGGAACCGGGUCCCCACUCCUCGCUGUCCGGCCGAGAGCAGGAGACAGCUCCGCCGCCACAGCCCCAGCGGACGACAACACAAACAUUCUUCCGUCCUCUAUUCUCCUCCAAAUUAGGUAUCCAUGGAGACAGGGCCGGCAGCCUGACAGCCCUACGGCCUAAUCCUGAUUUAGUGACCGUCCCUUUAACAGCCCACCCACCCGUCCACCCACCCCUGCGUUCCGGGCUGCCGCUGGGCGCAGGGUCCAGGCCGCGCUCUCUGCCCCGCGCAGACCCCUUCCCAGACCUCCUCCUCCGGCGGGGGCAGGGGGACCAGAGGGGCUGGGGAAGGGGACCAACAUUUGUUGAUCACCUACAAGGUGCUCAACAAUCUGCGAAGGACCCUCUGCGGAGGGGGGUCGCUAGCAUGCGAAUCCCUGUGUAGACCAGGAGAGGGCUCUUGCGGUGGGGAAGUUUGAGGGGCCCUCUCUGGAGAGCUGGGAGCUCCGGGGGUACCCCUUGUUUCCUGUAGCCCCAGGGUGAAGGUGAGUACAGCCUCCUACAACGCCCUGACUCUGAGAUGGGGGCUCUGUUCUCCCAGGCCAGAGGAGAAGACAUGAGGAGGGUGGGCGCUAGGGGCGCGGGGACCCUAAGUAGCCUCGGUCUCCUGUCACUGCCCCGUCACCAUGCUGGGGAAUCUCCGGGCCAGUAACCCAGCCCCCACCCCUCCCACACACACAGGGGCCGCUGGACAAAGACCUGACGGAGUGGGAGGGGCCUGCGGGCCGGCCCUCGGGCUCCGGACGCUGGAUCCUUCUGGGACCCGAACCCGCAAACCCUGGCUCCCCACCCCCAGGCCAGCAGACGCCCCCAAGCCGGCUGCUCGCUUUCGCUGCAGCCUCCGCACUAGUGGGGGCUGUGAGACGGUGCCCGUCGGCGGCCGGGCGGCGAUCCCCUGCUCUGCCUGCCCCUUCCCCCCGGGAAGUGACCCUCGGCUCCCACGCACCCGCUAGGGUCUCUCGCCAGCCCUGCCCUCCGACCCCCGCCGAGUUGAACCCCGCGACCCGCAGCCCCCGCCCUCUCGGCCCUCUCCGGCCCCGCGCCGGCGGACAAAGCUCCGGACACCCCGACCAAACGGUCACCUCCCCCGCCCCAUCCCGGCCCGCCCGCGGCCCCGUACCUCGGCAUCACGGCCGGGUCCUAGAUGCCUUGAGCGUGAUUCCUGAGAAUGCUGUCUCUGAACUCCCACUACACCAUGACCGUGGCUCCCUCACCAUGGCCCUGAGCUGUGCCAGAGAGAAUGGGUUAUUCAGUGAGAACCUUGAACUUAUGUGCCCAGACCUCCCCUCCAAUCUACUAGGAGUGCAGAAGGAUCUGCAACAGGUAUGCUGUAGUGGUGGUCAGGACACCCCUGCCUGA